GUGUCGCCAUGGUAACGGCGCGGCCUAGCUCAAAGUUAUUCCACUUUACUCCAUAUUUACUCCAUAUUUACUCCAUAUUUACUCCCAAUUAGCCCCAAUUUAACUCCAUUUUACACCAGAUUUACUCCUCAUUUACUUCUCAUUGGCCCCACUUUAAAUCCACUUUACACCAGUUUUACUCCCUGUUUACAAAGGCUUUACUCCACAUUUACUCCAUGUUUACACAGCAUUUACUCCACAUUUACUCCACAUUUACUCCACAUUUACUCCCACUUUACUCCACAUUUACACCUUGUUUCUUCUCAUUGUUCCUUAUUACCACAUUUUAACUCCAUUUUACACCAGAUUUACUCCUCAUUUACUCCUCAUUGGCCCCAUUUUAAAUCCACUUUACACCAGUUUUACUCCCUGUUUACACAGCCUUUACUCCACAUUUACUCCAUGUUUACACAGCGUUUACUCCACAUUUACUCCACAUUUACUCCCACAUUUACUCCCACUUUACUCCACAUUUACACCUUGUUUCUUCUCAUUGUUCCUUAUUACCACAUUUUAACUCCAUUUUACACCAUAUUUACUCCUCAUUGACUCCUCAUUGGCCCCAUUUUAAAUCCACUUUACACCAGUUUUACCCCCUGUUUACAAAGGCUUCACUCCUCAUUCAUUCCAUGUUUGCACAGCCUUUACUCCACAUUUACUCCCACUUUACUCCACAUUUAAAGUGUUAUCAUUACUUCCAAUUUACUCCCUGUUUACACAGACUCUACUCCACAUUUACUAUAUAUUAACACCCUGUUAACCAACAUUACACACUUACUCCCACUUUACUCCACAUUUACUCCUCAUUACCCCCAAUACUCCAAUUUACUCACCAUUACUCCACAUUUACUCCCACUUUACACCCAAUUUACUACAUGUUACCCAUUACUCUGCAUUUACACCCACUUUACUUCCCAUUUACUCCACAUUAACCACCAUUACUCCACAUUUACUCCCACUUUAACCCCAUUUACUCCCCAUUAUCCCCAUUACUCCACAUUUACNCCACCAUUACUCCACAUUUACUCCCACUUUAACCCCAUUUACUCCCCAUUAUCCCCAUUACUCCACAUUUACACCCACUUUACUCCACAUUACCUCCAUUACUCCGCAUUUACUCCAACGUUACUCCAUAUUUAUUGCCCCAUUACUCCACAUUUACACCCAAUUCUCAACAGCAGCUUCCGGUUCCUCUCCUCCCCCCCCCCAAAAUGGGUCAGAGGUCAAAGGUAACUCAAGGUCACAGGUGACCCCGAGGUCAGAGGUCAAGGGUCACACAAGGUCAUAGGUCAGGGGUCAUCUGGGGGAUCCUGUAGGCCUUGCAGCUCCCUCAGGCCCUGCGAUAACAAAGGGUUAAUUAAAAACAAAAGGUUAAAUGUCCUUUAAAGGGUUAAUGAGUAUGCUAAUUUAUGCUAAUGAGGGGGGCGGGGCUUACCUCCAGCACCAAUCGGAUGUGGGCGCGGAUCUGAGCUCCGUCCCUGGUCAGUGAUUCGCUGAGCCUGAGGGAGGGGGCGGGGCUUAGCAAAAGGGGGCGGGGCUUAGCUUCCUUUGGUUGUUAUAGCAGGGGGCGGGGCUUAUGCAGAUGGGAGGGGCUUGUGUGGGUGUGGUCUAUGCAAGGGGGCGUGGCCUAAAAAGGGGGCGGGGCUUAUUGGCUUCCAUAGGGAAUCACUGGGGGGAGCUGAGCCAAUCAGAAGGGUCGUGGCUUUAAAGGGGGCGUGGCUUUAAAAGGGGGCGUGGCCUAAUCAAGGGAGCGUGGCCUGUGUAAGGGGCGUGGCCUAAUCAAAGGGGCGUGACCUGUGGUAGCAGCUGGUUUCCCAUUGGUUUAUGGGAAAAGUGGGUGGAGACUAUUAUGGGGGCGUGGCCAAUGAGAGGGAAGGAGCUAAUUAAAAUAGGGGGCGUGGCUUGAGGAUGGUGGGCGUGGCCUGGAUGGAGUGGGCGGGGCUUGAUCUCAAUGGCCACCAAUGAGGAGGGGGCGGAGCCAAUAAAAGGGGGCUGGGCUUCA
Long non-coding RNA from Coturnix japonica (Japanese quail), 2041 nucleotides. Lineage: Eukaryota; Metazoa; Chordata; Aves; Galliformes; Phasianidae. The record is from Ensembl.